This 902-nucleotide ribosomal RNA is filed under the name Sporothrix schenckii var. schenckii. Its description in RNAcentral is "LSU rRNA". It matches the Rfam family "Eukaryotic large subunit ribosomal RNA", at positions 36 to 964 of the family's 3401-position model. Lineage: Eukaryota; Fungi; Ascomycota; Sordariomycetes; Ophiostomatales; Ophiostomataceae. The record is from RNAcentral.
CAGCAUAUCUAUGAGCGGAGGAAAAGAAACCAACAGGGAUUGCCCCCAGUAACGGCGUAGUGAAGCGGCAACAGCUCAAAUUUGAAAUCUGGCCCCCCGGCCCGAAGUUGUAAUUUGGAAGAGGAUGCUUCUGGCGCGGCGCCGUCCGAGUUCCUUGGAACAGGACGCCACAGAGGGUGAGAGCCCCGUACGGACGGACGCCUAGCCUCUACGAAGCUCCUUCGACGAGUCGAGUAGUUUGGGAAUGCUGCUCAAAAUGGGAGGUAAAUUUCUUCUAAAGCUAAAUACCGGCCAGAGACCGAUAGCGCACAAGUAGAGUGAUCGAAAGAUGAAAAGCACUUUGAAAAGAGGGUUAAAAAGUACGUGAAAUUGUUGAAAGGGAAGCGCCUGUGACCAGACUUGCGCCCCGCGGACCACCCGGCGUUCUCGCCGGUGCACUCUGCGGUGCGCAGGCCAGCAUCGGUUCUCCCAGGGGGACAAAGGCCGCGGGAACGUAGCUCCUUCGGGAGUGUUAUAGCCCGCGGCGGCAUGCCCCUGGGGGGACCGAGGACCGCGCUUCGGCAAGGAUGCUGGCGUAAUGGUCACCAGCGACCCGUCUUGAAACACGGACCAAGGAGUCAAGCAUUGGGGCGAGUGUAUGGGUGCCAAACCCGCACGCGAAAUGAAAGUAAACGCAGGUGAGAGCUUCGGCGCAUCAUCGACCGAUCCUGAUGUCUUCGGAUGGAUUUGAGUAAGAGCCUUACCGCUUGGACCCGAAAGAUGGUGAACUAUGCCUGAAUAGGGUGAAGCCAGAGGAAACUCUGGUGGAGGCUCGCAGCGGUUCUGACGUGCAAAUCGAUCGUCAAAUUUGGGCAUGGGGGGCGAAAGACUAAUCGAACCAUCUAGUAGCUGGUUACCGCCGA